AAAAAGGGCUUCUGUCGUGAUUGACACAGGGGAGGUGAGGGGUUCUUACCUUCCCUGCGGAAUCGCUAUCAAGAGAUUUCGGAAGCAUAAUUUUUACUCCUCGAGGCUGCUAGUGAUCAAUGUCCUGGCGCCUCU
Small nuclear RNA from Cololabis saira (Pacific saury), 135 nucleotides. RefSeq annotates it as U11 spliceosomal RNA. The transcript has a single exon. The record is from RefSeq and is a predicted model, not a curated record. Lineage: Eukaryota; Metazoa; Chordata; Actinopteri; Beloniformes; Belonidae.